GCGCUCUUAGUUCAGUUCGGUAGAACGCGGGUCUCCAAAACCCGAUGUCGUAGGUUCAAAUCCUAUAGAGCGUG
Molecule: transfer RNA, 74 nt
Filed under: Euryale ferox
Lineage: Eukaryota; Viridiplantae; Streptophyta; Magnoliopsida; Nymphaeales; Nymphaeaceae
Also listed under: 130 other names
Description: tRNA-Trp
Rfam family: tRNA
About the family: Transfer RNA (tRNA) molecules are approximately 80 nucleotides in length. Their secondary structure includes four short double-helical elements and three loops (D, anti-codon, and T loops).
Source: RNAcentral